RNAcentral lists this ribosomal RNA (440 nucleotides) under uncultured bacterium. RNAcentral's name for it is "partial 16S ribosomal RNA". It matches the Rfam family "Bacterial small subunit ribosomal RNA", at positions 338 to 795 of the family's 1533-position model. The record is from RNAcentral.
CCUACGGGAGGCAGCAGUAGGGAAUAUUGCUCAAUGGGGGAAACUCUGAAGCAGCAACGCCGCGUGGAGGAUGAAGGUUUUCGGAUUGUAAACUCCUUUUGUUAGAGAAGAUAAUGACGGUAUCUAACGAAUAAGCACCGGCUAACUCCGUGCCAGCAGCCGCGGUAAUACGGAGGGUGCAAGCGUUACUCGGAAUCACUGGGCGUAAAGAGCGCGUAGGCGGGAUAGCAAGUCAGAUGUGAAAGCCUAUGGCUUAACCAUAGAACUGCAGUUGAAACUGUUAUUCUAGAGUAUGGGAGGGGUAGGUGGAAUUCUUGGUGUAGGGGUAAAAUCCGUAGAGAUCAAGAGGAAUACUCAUUGCGAAGGCGACCUGCUAGAACAUAACUGACGCUGAUGCGCGAAAGCGUGGGGAGCAAACAGGAUUAGAUACCCCGGUAGUC